RNAcentral lists this ribosomal RNA (1059 nucleotides) under Vibrio tubiashii. Its description in RNAcentral is "bacterial SSU rRNA". It matches the Rfam family "Bacterial small subunit ribosomal RNA", at positions 454 to 1482 of the family's 1533-position model. The record is from RNAcentral. Lineage: Bacteria; Pseudomonadati; Pseudomonadota; Gammaproteobacteria; Vibrionales; Vibrionaceae.
UAAUAGCGGCAUCAUUUGACGUUAGCUGCAGAAGAAGCACCGGCUAACUCCGUGCCAGCAGCCGCGGUAAUACGGAGGGUGCGAGCGUUAAUCGGAAUUACUGGGCGUUUGAAAGCGCAUGCAGGUGGAUGAUUAAGUCAAGUGUGAAAGCCCGGGGCUCAACCUCGGGAAUAGCAUUUGAAACUGGUCAUCUAGAGUACUGUAGAGGGGGGUAGAAUUUCAGGUGUAGCGGUGAAAUGCGUAGAGAUCUGAAGGAAUACCGGUGGCGAAGGCGGCCCCCUGGACAGAUACUGACACUCAGAUGCGAAAGCGUGGGGAGCAAACAGGAUUAGAUACCCUGGUCCCGCAGUCCACGCCGUAAACGAUGUCUACUUGGAGGUUGUGGCCUUGAGCCGUGGCUUUCGGAGCUAACGCGUUAAGUAGACCGCCUGGGGAGUACGGUCGCAAGAUUAAAACUCAAAUGAAUUGACGGGGGCCCGCACAAGCGGUGGAGCAUGUGGUUUUUUAAUUCGAUGCAACGCGAAGAGCCUUACCUACUCUUGACAUCCAGAGAAUCCUUUAGAGAUAGAGGAGUGCCUUCGGGAGCUCUGAGACAGGUGCUGCAUGGCUGUCGUCAGCUCGUGUUGUGAAAUGUUGGGUUAAGUCCCGCAACGAGCGCAAUGAACCCUUAUCCUUGUUUGCCAGCGAGUAAUGUCGGGAACUUCAGGGAGACUGCCGGUGAUAAACCGGAGGAAGGUGGGGACGACGUCAAGUCAUCAUGGCCCUUACGAGUAGGGCUACACACGUGCUACAAUGGCGCAUACAGAGGGCGGCCAAAUGCCUUGCGAGAGUGAGCGAAUCCCAAAAAGUGCGUCGUAGUCCGGAUCGGAGUCUGCAACUCGACUCCGUGAAGUCGGACCCAUCGCUAGUAAUCGUGGAUCAGAAUGCCACGGUGAAUACGUUCCCGGGCCUUGUACACACCGCCCGUCACACCAUGGGGAGUGGGCUGCAAAAGAAGUGGGUAGUUUAACCUUCGGGGGGACGCUCACCACUUUGAUCGGGUGAUUCAUGACUGGGGUG